UGGUGUUGUUACUAGGAGUAGGGUUUAUCUUUAUUUUUAGUGAUGACGGUAGUAAAUGUCAACAAAAGUCAAAUAUAAAUUAGGGAAUAUUAAAAUUUUGUCUUGGAGAUGAUGAAUAAUUGCUCUACAAUAAUUCCUUUCAAGUGUCUAGUUUUCAACCAUGAAUUAUCGUGAGUUUUUGACAUGACCACUUUAAUAUAAGAAUUUAUUCUGAACCUAAAAUUUGUGGAGGCAUAUGUUUAAGCUGAGUCGAGGUAAUUGAUAUUAUACAUGAAGGUCUAAGAUGCUAUUUAUCUUAUUCCUAGCAUUACUAAGUUCUAGAGAUAUAUUUUUAAAAACCCAAAAUCUUACAUUAUGAGCUCUUGUGUGAUAAAGUUUAAAUUCCUACCAAAGCCAUAUAUGAUACAUUUAGAGUUAGAAAAACCUUUGCGCAUUCAUGCUGCUUGCUUUAUCUUGAGUUUAGACAACCUUUGGAGUAUACCUUAUGAGAGUCUUGUCAUGAUUUUAAAAUUGAGAUCACUUACGCACUCCACCACAUAUGCUUACUCCUACUCUGGGAUGUAAGCGCAGUCGUUUUCACUUUCAUCGAGAUCCACCUUAAAAAAUAUAUUCUUCUACACUAGGAGUAAACACCCAAAAAUAUACCCUAUAGGACAGCCCCCAUUUAAUUGCUCUAAGUUCUUAUCAUUAUCUCUCCGAUUAUUUAUAUUCAAAGGAUGUAUGUGGCUAUGCAAAAGUAUUAAAAUAAAAGAAGAGAAGAAGAAAAGUGGGAGUAAAAGAUGGACAAGUGUCCCAACAAUUAAAACAAUGAGUACAUAGAUGCCCGCCUCCCAGAUUAAAAAAAAGAAGAGAAAGAAAAAAAUAAGAAAGAAUAAAGAUAGCCCAUGGUUUCCCGCGAGGAGUCCUAAGUUUUAAAGAAGGGAGUUAUUUUCAAAGAGCAAAAGUAGAAUUAGGAUUAGCCACUAAAUGCUAUAUAUAUACACCUAUCCACCAUAUUCCAUACACAUGCACAUCUUGAUUUGAUUGUAUGUCUUGAUUCUCUGUGGAUCCAUUGUUUGACUUUACAAUAUAUGAAUUGCAAGGAUGCUCAUCCUUGAUUGCCACUCCUAUAAGCUCCACUAUAUAUAUCCUUAGUUUUAGGAAGGCAUAACCUCAUUAAUGCCUCAGCGAGAUCCAUAAAUACUACAUAAUAAGAGACUUGAGGGUGUCAUACAAUCAUACUCUGAGCUUUAUUUCGAAAACUUACAAAACUCCGAAAUAUUGGUACUAUGAAGAAUUUGAGACAUAGUGCUUGACUUGAUUGUUCUAUCUUUCGAUUACUAACAACUUAUGCAAAAGUUGUAAAGCUCCAUGGUUAAAGGUAAGAUGGGUAAGUUUGAAAGUUAGACCGGAGGAAAAAUUAUAUUUAAAAGCAAGUGUACUUAAAAGAAAUAAAAGUAUUGUAGUAACUCCUGAUCCAAGUUUAUUAAUAAUUAGGCUUGGGUUGUUUGUCAAGGGACUGGCAAAAGGUAACCUUGGGGGUACGUCAAUAUUUACUAGAACUUUAGACACAAGGGAACACAUGAAAACAUACUAGUCUAGGGUUUUAUCUGACAAUUUCCACGAGUUUUGCAUAUUCUGUAUUUUUCAGGGUAAAUUUUAAAAAAGCUGAAAAGAAAGAUUCUAGUGCAUAAUUACCAGGAAACUUAUCCGUGACAAAAAAUAUCGUCAUGAGGCUAAAGAAGGGUCUAUAAGACACCCGAAGGAACGAGACCCACAGAGGAGAGAAGGUGGGGCCAGCCGGCCCCACCCUGGUGAAGGGUCGAGAUGGCGGACUAGAGAGGGGGGUGAAUAGUCCUUUCUAAAAAUUAUUACGCCUGCUAACCGAAACAGAUGCGGAAUUAAAACUAUCGGUC
This 1895-nucleotide long non-coding RNA is filed under the name Sorghum bicolor (sorghum). RNAcentral's name for it is "long non-coding RNA (SBIC_LNC008163)". Lineage: Eukaryota; Viridiplantae; Streptophyta; Magnoliopsida; Poales; Poaceae. The record is from RNAcentral.